AUUGAACGCUGGCGGCAGGCCUAACACAUGCAAGUCGAGUGGAGCGGCGGACGGGUGAGUAAUGCCUAGGAAUCUGCCUGGUAGUGGGGGAUAACGUCCGGAAACGUGCGCUAAUACCGCAUACUAUCAGAUGAGCCUAGGUCGGAUUAGCUAGUUGGUGGGGUAAAGGCCUACCAAGGCGACGAUCCGUAACUGGUCUGAGAGGAUGAUCAGGACCACUGUAACUGAGACACGGUCCAGACUCCUACGGGAGGCAGCAGUGGGGAAUAUUGGACAAUGGGAGAAAGGCUGUUCCAGCCAUGCCGUGUGUGUGAAGAAGGUCUUCGGAUUGUAAAGCACUUUAAGUUGGGAGGCGUUACCAACAGAAUAAGAAACGGCGAACUUCGUGCCAGCAGCGGCGGUAAUA
This 406-nucleotide ribosomal RNA is filed under the name uncultured bacterium. Its description in RNAcentral is "partial 16S ribosomal RNA". It matches the Rfam family "Bacterial small subunit ribosomal RNA", at positions 30 to 525 of the family's 1533-position model. The record is from RNAcentral.